GACGAACGCUGGCGGCGUGCUUAACACAUGCAAGUCGAACGGAAAGGCCCUGCUUUUGUGGGGUGCUCGAGUGGCGAACGGGUGAGUAACACGUGAGUAACCUGCCCUUGACUUUGGGAUAACCUCAGGAAACUGGGGCUAAUACCGGAUAGGAGCUCCUGCUGCAUGGUGGGGGUUGGAAAGUUUCGGCGGUUGGGGAUGGACUCGCGGCUUAUCAGCUUGUUGGUGGGGUAGUGGCUUACCAAAGCUUUGACGGGUAGCCGGCCUGAGAGGGUGACCGGCCACAUUGGGACUGAGAUACGGCCCAGACUCCUACGGGAGGCAGCAGUGGGGAAUAUUGCACAAUGGGCGGAAGCCUGAUGCAGCAACGCCGCGUGCGGGAUGACGGCCUUCGGGUUGUAAACCGCUUUCGCCUGUGACGAAGCGUGAGUGACGGUAAUGGGUAAAGAAGCACCGGCUAACUACGUG
This 468-nucleotide ribosomal RNA is filed under the name uncultured bacterium. RNAcentral's name for it is "partial 16S ribosomal RNA". It matches the Rfam family "Bacterial small subunit ribosomal RNA", at positions 28 to 507 of the family's 1533-position model. The record is from RNAcentral.